Molecule: ribosomal RNA, 552 nt
Filed under: uncultured bacterium
Lineage: Bacteria
Description: partial 16S ribosomal RNA
Rfam family: Bacterial small subunit ribosomal RNA
Source: RNAcentral
UAGGGAAUCUUCCACAAUGGACGCAAGUCUGAUGGAGCAACGCCGCGUGAGUGAAGAAGGUUUUCGGACCGUAAAGCUCUGUUGUUGGUGAAGAAGGUUAGAGGUAGUAACUGGCCUUUAUUUGACGGUAAUCAACCAGAAAGUCACGGCUAACUACGUGCCAGCAGCCGCGGUAAUACGUAGGUGGCAAGCGUUGUCCGGAUUUAUUGGGCGUAAAGCGAGCGCAGGCGGAAGAAUAAGUCUGAUGUGAAAGCCCUCGGCUUAACCGAGGAAUUGCAUCGGAAACUGUUUUCUUGAGUGCAGAAGAGGAGAGUAGAACUCCAUGUGUAGCGGUGGAAUGCGUAGAUAUAUGGAAGAAUACCAGUGGCGAAGGCGGCUCUCUGGUCUGCAACUGACGCUGAGGCUCGAAAGCAUGGGUAGCGAACAGGAUUAGAUACCCUGGUAGUCCAUGCCGUAAACGAUGAGUGCUAAGUGUUGGGAGGCUUCCGCCUCUCAGUGCUGCAGCUAACGCAUUAAGCACUCCGCCUGGGGGAGUACGACCGCAAGGUUGAA